GAUGAACGCUGGCGGCGUGCCUAAUACAUGCAAGUCGAGCGAACAGAUAAGGAGCUUGCUCCUUUGACGUUAGCGGCGGACGGGUGAGUAACACGUGGGUAACCUACCUAUAAGACUGGAAUAACUCCGGGAAACCGGGGCUAAUGCCGGAUAACAUUUAGAACCGCAUGGUUCUAAAGUGAAAGAUGGUUUUGCUAUCACUUAUAGAUGGACCCGCGCCGUAUUAGCUAGUUGGUAAGGUAACGGCUUACCAAGGCAACGAUACGUAGCCGACCUGAGAGGGUGAUAGGCCACACUGGAACUGAGACACGGUCAAGACUCCUACGGGAGGCAGCAGUAGGGAAUCUUCCGCAAUGGGCGAAAGCCUGACGGAGCAACGCCGCGUGAGUGAUGAAGGUCUUCGGAUCGUAAAACUCUGUUAUUAGGGAAGAACAAAUGUGUAAGUAACUGUGCACGUCUUGACGGUAACUAAUCAGAAAGCCACGGCUAACUACGUG
RNAcentral lists this ribosomal RNA (497 nucleotides) under uncultured bacterium. Its description in RNAcentral is "partial 16S ribosomal RNA". It matches the Rfam family "Bacterial small subunit ribosomal RNA", at positions 28 to 507 of the family's 1533-position model. The record is from RNAcentral.